This 609-nucleotide ribosomal RNA is filed under the name Escherichia coli. Its description in RNAcentral is "partial 23S ribosomal RNA". It matches the Rfam family "Bacterial large subunit ribosomal RNA", at positions 1 to 641 of the family's 2925-position model. The record is from RNAcentral. Lineage: Bacteria; Pseudomonadati; Pseudomonadota; Gammaproteobacteria; Enterobacterales; Enterobacteriaceae.
GGGUUGUGAGGUUAAGCGACUAAGCGUACACGGUGGAUGCCCUGGCAGUCAGAGGCGAUGAAGGACGUGCUAAUCUGCGAUAAGCGUCGGUGAGGUGAUAUGAACCGUUAUAACCGGCGAUUUCCGAAUGGGGAAACCCAGUGUGUUUCGACACACUAUCAUUAACUGAAUCCAUAGGUUAAUGAGGCGAACCGGGGGAACUGAAACAUCUAAGUACCCCGAGGAAAAGAAAUCAACCGAGAUUCCCCCAGUAGCGGCGAGCGAACGGGGAGGAGCCCAGAGCCUGAAUCAGUGUGUGUGUUAGUGGAAGCGUCUGGAAAGGCGUGCGAUACAGGGUGACAGCCCCGUACACAAAAAUGCACAUAUUGUGAGCUCGAUGAGUAGGGCGGGACACGUGGUAUCCUGUCUGAAUAUGGGGGGACCAUCCUCCAAGGCUAAAUACUCCUGACUGACCGAUAGUGAACCAGUACCGUGAGGGAAAGGCGAAAAGAACCCCGGCGAGGGGAGUGAAAAAGAACCUGAAACCGUGUACGUACAAGCAGUGGGAGCCUCUUAAUGGGGUGACUGCGUACCUUUUGUAUAAUGGGUCAGCGACUUAUAUUCUGUAGC